GCCCCUGUAGCUCAGUGAUAGAGCAGCGCUUUCGUACAGCGAAGACUGGAGUUUGAUUCUCCGCAGGGGCUCCA
This 74-nucleotide transfer RNA is filed under the name compost metagenome. RNAcentral's name for it is "tRNA-Thr". It matches the Rfam family "tRNA". From Rfam's summary of the family: Transfer RNA (tRNA) molecules are approximately 80 nucleotides in length. Their secondary structure includes four short double-helical elements and three loops (D, anti-codon, and T loops). Further hydrogen bonds mediate the characteristic L-shaped molecular structure. tRNAs have two regions of fundamental functional importance: the anti-codon, which is responsible for specific mRNA codon recognition, and the 3' end, to which the tRNAs corresponding amino acid is attached (by aminoacyl-tRNA synthetases). tRNAs cope with the degeneracy of the genetic code in two manners: having more than one tRNA (with a specific anti-codon) for a particular amino acid; and 'wobble' base-pairing, i.e. permitting non-standard base-pairing at the 3rd anti-codon position. The record is from RNAcentral.